Molecule: ribosomal RNA, 407 nt
Filed under: uncultured marine bacterium
Lineage: Bacteria
Description: bacterial SSU rRNA
Rfam family: Bacterial small subunit ribosomal RNA
Source: RNAcentral
AGUUUUCGGCAAUCGUGAAAGAGCGACGGAGCAAACCGCGUGAGCAGAAAGAAUCCGGGAUUAAACAAUUUUUAAAGGAAGAAAACAAUAAGUAACUGAAGAAUAAGCAUCGGCUAACUCCGCGCCAGCAGCCGCGGUAAUACGGAGGAUGCAAGCGUUCUUCGGAAUGACGGGGGUAAAGCGUCCGCAGGCGGAUAUGCAAGUCUGAAUUAAACACCGAGAACAACUCCAUUGCGCAGAGAUAUGCGUGCUUAGAGAGGUGGGGGUUGAGGGAAUUUCUGAUUGUGGAGUGAAAUGUGUUGAAUAGGGGCGAACCCCCUUUGAGAAGGCGCUCUAAUAGACGUAACGACAAUUGAGGAGGAAAGGUAAGAGAGAGAAGAGAAUAGAUACCCCAUUAGUCUUCGAUU